UUGUGAGGUUAAGCGACUAAGCGUACACGGUGGAUGCCCUGGCAGUCAGAGGCGAUGAAGGACGUGCUAAUCUGCGAUAAGCGUCGGUGAGGUGAUAUGAACCGUUAUAACCGGCGAUUUCCGAAUGGGGAAACCCAGUGUGUUUCGACACACUAUCAUUAACUGAAUCCAUAGGUUAAUGAGGCGAACCGGGGGAACUGAAACAUCUAAGUACCCCGAGGAAAAGAAAUCAACCGAGAUUCCCCCAGUAGCGGCGAGCGAACGGGGAGGAGCCCAGAGCCUGAAUCAGUGUGUGUGUUAGUGGAAGCGUCUGGAAAGGCGUGCGAUACAGGGUGACAGCCCCGUACACAAAAAUGCACAUACUGUGAGCUCGAUGAGUAGGGCGGGACACGUGGUAUCCUGUCUGAAUAUGGGGGGACCAUCCUCCAAGGCUAAAUACUCCUGACUGACCGAUAGUGAACCAGUACCGUGAGGGAAAGGCGAAAAGAACCCCGGCGAGGGGAGUGAAAAAGAACCUGAAACCGUGUACGUACAAGCAGUGGGAGCCUCUUAAUGGGGUGACUGCGUACCUUUUGUAUAAUGGGUCAGCGACUUAUAUUCUGUAGCAAGGUUAACCGAAUAGGGGAGCCGAAGGGAAACCGAGUCUUAACUGGGCGUUAAGUUGCAGGGUAUAGACCCGAAACCCGGUGAUCUAGCCAUGGGCAGGUUGAAGGUUGGGUAACACUAACUGGAGGACCGAACCGACUAAUGUUGAAAAAUUAGCGGAUGACUUGUGGCUGGGGGUGAAAGGCCAAUCAAACCGGGAGAUAGCUGGUUCUCCCCGAAAGCUAUUUAGGUAGCGCCUCGUGAAUUCAUCUCCGGGGGUAGAGCACUGUUUCGGCAAGGGGGUCAUCCCGACUUACCAACCCGAUGCAAACUGCGAAUACCGGAGAAUGUUAUCACGGGAGACACACGGCGGGUGCUAACGUCCGUCGUGAAGAGGGAAACAACCCAGACCGCCAGCUAAGGUCCCAAAGUCAUGGUUAAGUGGGAAACGAUGUGGGAAGGCCCAGACAGCCAGGAUGUUGGCUUAGAAGCAGCCAUCAUUUAAAGAAAGCGUAAUAGCUCACUGGUCGAGUCGGCCUGCGCGGAAGAUGUAACGGGGCUAAACCAUGCACCGAAGCUGCGGCAGCGACACUAUGUGUUGUUGGGUAGGGGAGCG
Molecule: ribosomal RNA, 1201 nt
Filed under: Escherichia coli
Lineage: Bacteria; Pseudomonadati; Pseudomonadota; Gammaproteobacteria; Enterobacterales; Enterobacteriaceae
Description: partial 23S ribosomal RNA
Rfam family: Bacterial large subunit ribosomal RNA
Source: RNAcentral